This 161-nucleotide unclassified non-coding RNA is filed under the name soil metagenome. RNAcentral's name for it is "partial internal transcribed spacer 1". The record is from RNAcentral.
GAAAAUAGCCAGCCUGGCUGGUGAAUAAUUCUAUCCACCUUGUGUGCAAACAAUGGAAAAAAGGAGAGAAAAAUUAGAUAUUUUUGUAUCUAAUCUCUCUAAAAUUUUUACAAACUCAUCAAAUUUUGAAAUAAAAACUAUUUUUUUAAUAAAAUAUUAUA